AAACCAUGCAUAGGGCAUUUUCUAAUUAACUCCUUGAAUUUCUCCCAUGCUCCAUAUAAUGUUUCAUCAUCCUCGGAUGGCCCAAAGGAGAUAAUAUUGUUCCUCAAUUU
Gossypium hirsutum (cotton) is the source of this 110-nucleotide non-coding RNA. The record is from Rfam. Lineage: Eukaryota; Viridiplantae; Streptophyta; Magnoliopsida; Malvales; Malvaceae.